AGAUCGUGAGUUUCUCCGAAGCCCUAGAAGCUAUCUUGCUCGGUUGUAAGUCCAAGAACCGAAGAUUGAAUGGAGAAGAAAAUUUUUGUGGAAGCAAAAGAUGAGUUGAUGUAUUUGUAGUUUCUUUUGAAUUGACUUGUUUAACUACUUAGAGUGUUGGAUAUUGUUACAUACCAUGAGUUGUAUGCAUUGUAUAUGCUUCUCUUGACUUUUUUGUAUGAUUAUAUAUUGACAACAUUGGACUUGUAUUAUUGUAGAUUUUAUUUCAAAUAUUAAUAGGAUGUGUAUAUAUGUUA
Zingiber officinale is the source of this 296-nucleotide long non-coding RNA. RefSeq lists it as uncharacterized. The record is from RefSeq and is a predicted model, not a curated record. The transcript has 2 exons. Lineage: Eukaryota; Viridiplantae; Streptophyta; Magnoliopsida; Zingiberales; Zingiberaceae.